Molecule: long non-coding RNA, 377 nt
Organism: Malania oleifera
Lineage: Eukaryota; Viridiplantae; Streptophyta; Magnoliopsida; Santalales; Ximeniaceae
Exons: 3
Source: RefSeq, a predicted model, not a curated record
UGCGAGCAUAAGCGAGUCAUAGAUUUUUUUCUGAUGUAUAAAGAUACAUAGCACAUAGAUAUAGAUAUUGAUAUAAAGGUUCGAGAGGAGCAUCGCGACUGAUCAGAAUACAUAAUUCAUAAUUCAUAGUUAAAAAUGAAAGAGGAGCUUUCAACAUCCAUCAAUUCCUCCAACAUCGGUUAUCAGGGGUUUCUUGAAGCUUUCGAAGAAGCACGGUUGGAAAGAGGGAACUGGUCUUGGUGCUUCCCAGCAGGGGACUGGGGCUAUAACACUCCGAAAGAGAGAGAGGAAGGAGCUAGCAUCCCUAGGAUUCAUCUUCUCCAGCUUUCUGAUUUCAGUAAAAAGCUGAAGUAGGCAUUUUCUUUGUUGUUUCUCCA